This 268-nucleotide ribosomal RNA is filed under the name uncultured Chlamydiales bacterium. RNAcentral describes it as "partial 16S ribosomal RNA". It matches the Rfam family "Bacterial small subunit ribosomal RNA", at positions 44 to 302 of the family's 1533-position model. The record is from RNAcentral. Lineage: Bacteria; Pseudomonadati; Chlamydiota; Chlamydiia; Chlamydiales.
GUGGAUGAGGCAUGCAAGUCGAACGAAGCAUCUAGCAAUAGAUGCUUAGUGGCGGAAGGGUUAGUAAUACAUGGGUAACUUGCCUUUAACUUUGGAAUAACGGUUGGAAACGAUCGCUAAUACCAAAUGUGGUGGUGUCUGGCAUCAGAUGCUUAUUAAAGUGGGGGAUCGUAAGACCUCGCGGUUAAAGAGAGGCCCAUGAGAUAUCAGCUAGUUGGUGAGGUAACGGCUCACCAAGGCUAAGACGUCUAGGCGGAUUGAGAGAUUG